UAAAUUGAGUGGGACUCUUAAUUAAAUUAGGAUUUAGGUGACUAACACUAUAAAUAAAAAUAUUGUGAAAAUGUUAUUUGGCUUUACUCAUGGAAAGUGGCUUUGCUCAUUAAAGAGAGUGGCUUUCAAUUCAAGGUGUAGGGUUGUCGCUCAUUGUAGAGAGAGCUUUUGCUAAUUGCUGAGGAUUUGGAUCUGUCCAUUGACGAGGGGCUUUUACCCAUUGCAAUUCUAUAAAGAGAAAGAGGCUUUGGCCUAAGAUAAAGAAAUGUCAUAAUCCAAGAAGAAGGAAUUAUAGCUCAUUGUAGUUGAAAACACCCAUUUGUG
This 324-nucleotide unclassified non-coding RNA is filed under the name Hevea brasiliensis (rubber tree). The record is from RNAcentral. Lineage: Eukaryota; Viridiplantae; Streptophyta; Magnoliopsida; Malpighiales; Euphorbiaceae.